This 492-nucleotide ribosomal RNA is filed under the name uncultured bacterium. RNAcentral's name for it is "partial 16S ribosomal RNA". It matches the Rfam family "Bacterial small subunit ribosomal RNA", at positions 29 to 507 of the family's 1533-position model. The record is from RNAcentral.
AGUGAACGCUGGCGGUAGGCCUAACACAUGCAAGUCGAACGGCAGCACAGUAAGAGCUUGCUCUUACGGGUGGCGAGUGGCGGACGGGUGAGGAAUACAUCGGAAUCUACUUUUUCGUGGGGGAUAACGUAGGGAAACUUACGCUAAUACCGCAUACGACCUACGGGUGAAAGCAGGGGAUCUUCGGACCUUGCGCGAUUGAAUUAGCCGAUGUCGGAUUAGCUAGUUGGCGGGGUAAAGGCCCACCAAGGCGACGAUCCGUAGCUGGUCUGAGAGGAUGAUCAGCCACACUGGAACUGAGACACGGUCCAGACUCCUACGGGAGGCAGCAGUGGGGAAUAUUGGACAAUGGGCGCAAGCAUGAUCCAGCCAUACCGCGUGGGUGAAGAAGGCCUUCGGGUUGUAAAGACCUUUUGUUGGGAAAGAAAAGCAGCAGGUUAAUACCCCGCUGUUCUGACGGUACCCAAAGAAUAAGCACCGGCUAACUUCGUG